Molecule: non-coding RNA, 1198 nt
Organism: Paramormyrops kingsleyae
Lineage: Eukaryota; Metazoa; Chordata; Actinopteri; Osteoglossiformes; Mormyridae
Source: RefSeq, a predicted model, not a curated record
UGCAGCGAAAAGCUUCAUGCCUAACGGCCCUUUCUGAAUAAAAUUAGCCACCCCUGUGCUAAUCAAUACUUUGCAGUCUGAGAAUUGUCCCUACUGCUCACUAGACAGUCACCGUACUUAUGACCAGAGACCCACACAACAAAAACUUCACAUUAUAUGUGAUCGUACGUAGAGCUAAAUUAUUCCUUAUUAUGUAUUAAAGAUUAUUACAUUUCUUACUUAUACUGUGACUAUACCCUUAUUAGACUGCAUUUUCCACCAUCGCUGACAUAUUUACCCGGAACUACGCUUCUAACUACAGCUCGCGAGCUCUAAUUCGAACUACGCAACUUAACAACAGUGUUUGCGAACGUUCGUUCGAACUAUGGCUUUGGGAAACACCUGCGUCGUUUAACGAUGCAUCGUACUACCUCCCUAAAGCCUGCUGGAUACACCCCCGAGCUGCAGUUCACCGCCUGCUUCCCCUGGAGAGUCUCCAUGUGCUGCCAUGAUGAGCUCGGUGACUCAGAUGGGGGGGGGGGGCGGGGGUCUCUCUGCCUGAUGUGCAUUGCACCUGCCAGCAGGAUGAGAGGAGAGGCAGAGUGAGUCAGGAGGCCGGCACAUGUUCCCAGCCAUGCACACUGUACCUCUGAGGAGAAGCUCGGUCUUCCUGGGUUCACCUGCACUGUUACGGUUGGGUGUGCAGUUCCUCUGUGCAUUCACAAACAAUCACAUGUGCAUUGUGCCUCCCAAUUACACCCUGUCUUUAAUUAGCAGUUGUAUGUGUAGCAUUUGAAUCCUGUUCUGUGUGCACUGAUUGUACAUGCUCUUCUAACCAAAAUCUUAAAAUUGCCCAUUCUGUAUGGCUGUGUGUGCUUGCGCUGCUCAGACUGGCCCUCUCUUGCUUGGACUAGACUCUUAGCCCAAAACCUUGAGCAGGAUAAGCAGAUGUAGGAUGGGUGGAUUGUGGCCUGUCCUUUGAUUGCUUUAAGCACAUAAUAAGAGUCAUAAGCUAACUUGAUACCCCCAAGAAAUGGCCCACGGUAAAGCUGGGUCUUCUUUGAACCGACUUUGCCCAUUUAAUAACUCAGCUCAGGUUCACAAAAAAACACAAAACGUGCAUUUCACAUAAUACCCAUAGACUCUCAUUCAGAAACUCAAAUUUCAUUGACCUGUUAUGAAUUGUAGGUGAACAUAUUUAUAAACAAAUUUCUUUGGC